RNAcentral lists this ribosomal RNA (508 nucleotides) under uncultured bacterium. RNAcentral's name for it is "bacterial SSU rRNA". It matches the Rfam family "Bacterial small subunit ribosomal RNA", at positions 40 to 507 of the family's 1533-position model. The record is from RNAcentral.
CGGCGUGCCUAAUACAUGCAAGUCGAACGCACUUCUCGUUUAGAUUGAAGGAGCUUGCUCCUGAUUGAUAAACAUUGAGUGAGUGGCGGACGGGUGAGUAACACGUGGGUAACCUGCCCUAAAGUGGGGGAUAACAUUUGGAAACAGAUGCUAAUACCGCAUAAAACCUAACACCGCAUGGUGUAGGGUUGAAAGAUGGUUUCGGCUAUCACUUUAGGAUGGACCCGCGGUGCAUUAGUUAGUUGGUGAGGUAAAGGCUCACCAAGACCGUGAUGCAUAGCCGACCUGAGAGGGUAAUCGGCCACACUGGGACUGAGACACGGCCCAGACUCCUACGGGAGGCAGCAGUAGGGAAUCUUCCACAAUGGACGAAAGUCUGAUGGAGCAACGCCGCGUGAGUGAAGAAGGUUUUCGGAUCGUAAAACUCUGUUGUUGGAGAAGAAUGUAUCUGAUAGUAACUGAUCAGGUAGUGACGGUAUCCAACCAGAAAGCCACGGCUAACUACGUG